GGCGUUGUGGCAGAGUGGUCUAAUGCGCAAGAUUAGAAAUCUUGUUCCUUCGGGAGCGUCUGUUCGAAUCAGGCCAACGUCG
This 82-nucleotide transfer RNA is filed under the name Colletotrichum gloeosporioides Cg-14. It matches the Rfam family "tRNA". Rfam says of the family: Transfer RNA (tRNA) molecules are approximately 80 nucleotides in length. Their secondary structure includes four short double-helical elements and three loops (D, anti-codon, and T loops). Lineage: Eukaryota; Fungi; Ascomycota; Sordariomycetes; Glomerellales; Glomerellaceae. The record is from Rfam by way of RNAcentral.